AAGAAGACUCAUGUUUUCAGGAUAGAGUCAAGGCAAUCGCAAUUAGAAUCCCAAUAGAUUAAUUUGUGCAUAUUGAUAAACUGAUUCUAACAUUUAUAUAGAAUAGACAACAUAGGAUUGAAAGAGAAGAGCAGAUAUUGAUUGACUUUAAGACUUCCUAUGAGCUGUACUCAACCAGACCGUAUGGCACUUGCCAAAGAGAACAGACAGAUGGAUCAAUAAGACAGAAUACAGAGCCCAAAGCAGACGGAGAUCUUUGACAAAGGAGAAGGCAGAAUAAUGAAGUAAAGAUAUUUCAACAAAUGUGGCUGGAACAACCGAACAUUCACAUGCAAAGAAAUGAACCUAGUCACAGACCUUACCCCUGUCAUAAAAUUUAACUCACAGUGUAUCAUAGACCUAAAUGCAAAAUGCAAGACUAAAACUUCUAGAAGACAACACAGGAGAAAACCUUGAUGACCCCAGGCACAGCGACGACUCUUUAGAUACAACGCCAAGGCAUGACUCCUGGAAAACAAAACAAUGUAUGAUUAAACCUUAAAAUAAAAAGACGUCUGUGAAAGACAGUGUCAGGAAAUGAGAAGCCAAGCCACCGACUGGGAGAAAAUGCUAGCAAAACACACACCCCAUAAAGGACUGUCAGCCCAAAUCUAUCCUGAAGUCUGAAAGGUCAACGACAAGAAAAUAAAUUAAAAAAAUGAGGACGUCUCACCAAGAAGAUGUGCAGAUGAAAAGAUGCUCGGCGUCCUCGGGCGGCAGGGACCUGCCAACAGAAACAUCCACAAGAUGCCACUGCAAAUCCGUUAGAAUGGCCCAAAUCCAGGACACUCACCAAGAACCGGGGUGGUGCGGAGCCGCGGGAGCUCUCAUUCACCCUUGGCGCGAGUCAAGGGGGCACAGCCACUUGGAAGACAGUUUGACAGUUUCUUACAAAGUUCACCGUACUCUUACUCCACCAAGUCAUGAGGACAGUGGGGGACCUUACACCCAUGUGGACAAAGCCAAUCUGAAAAGGCUAACUAAUGUGAUCUCGCUCUGUGACACUGUGACAUAAGAUGAGUCUAGGGGGGAAGAGGGACGACUAGAUGGAGCAGAGGGUUUUUACGGCAGUGAUGAAUACAUGUCACAUGCAUUUAUCCAAAACCCACAGGACAUACAACUCGGGGGAGCCUGAUGUCAACAUGGGCUUGGCACGGCAGCCAUGCGCCCUCAGGGGUUCACCAGCUGUAGUGAUCCUGCCACCCCAGUGAGGGACGGUGCCCAAGGGGAGGCCUGUGUUGGGGCAGGAACGUCGGGGAGUCUCUGUAUUUUCCUCCCAAUGUUGCUCUGAACCUAAACUGCUCUUUAAAAAUCUUUGAAUGUACUAAUUUUUUUUUUAUUUUAAAAGAAUAAUAUUCUUUUACAUUUAAAAAUUCAAAGCUGAGCAUCCUUCUCUGGCCUCCUGGUAGUUGCUGCCUUCUGGGAGCCUCAGUUUCCCCAGUCGGGGAAAACCAAGAUCUUAUCCCUGGUCUUGCAUACGAGGGUGGCUGUUCCCCACCUCCACCACGGUGGCAUUGAGGUGGCACACUGCUCAGGAGGCCGAGGCAGGAGGAUUGCAAGCUCAAGGCCAACCUGGGCAAUUUCAGGAGGCCCUGCCUCAAAAUACAAAAGGGUUGGGGAUGUAGUCAGUAGUAAAGCACCCCUGGGUUCAGUCCUCAGUGUUGAGAGCCACAGCCAAAGGGGCCCCAGCAAACUUCCAGCUGCCAGCAAACUUCCAGCUGCUGGCUGAUGAUUGGCUCACAGCGGCCCCAGCAACAUCUAGCUGAUUGGCUCCUCUGCGGUGAUGCUCAUUGGGCUGUUUCCCUGCCCUUUCAGACCACGGAGCUGCUCAUUGGGGGACUUUUUUGGCUCCGCCCACGUGACCCAGCCAAUCGGCCUCAAGAGCAGGAGGAUUGUGGGAGGUGGAGAGAAGCUUGGGUGGGAGAGAGAGGCUUGUGGAAAGCCGGUGGUGGCAGUUGAGGCUCUGAGGGUUUUUCCUGAGAGACUAUUUUGUUUGUCGUGUGUGGUUCUAAAAAUAAAGUUAGUUUCUUUUGACAAGUGGCUCCUGAUUGUGCCCAGCCAGACUGCGGCACCUCAGUAUUGAAAAAAAGAUAUAUUUCUUAAAGGAAUGAAAUAUGUUUCAUGGGUGCGUGUACUGAUAUAUGUUAUAACCUGGAUGAGUCUUGAAAACACAUAAAAGAAAAGACCACACACCUUGUGUAAUUCCAGUAUGUGAACUGUCUGGAACAGGCAAAUCUAGAGGCAGAAAAUGGGGGGUUAGUGGUCACCAAUGGCCAAGGUAAGUAGGAAUAACCGCCAAGGUACAAGUUUCCUUUGGGGAGCAAUGAAAAUAUUCUGGAACUGAUGGAGGCAGUUGCAUGACCUUUUGGUAAAUACACUGAACACCACUGAAUCACACACAUUAAAAGGGUUGAUUCUGUCUUUCGGAGUUGUCUUCAAGUCUGGAGACACUGGGGACCAACUGGGAUGAGGGACUUUGCCCUGCAUGCUCAGGGUCCCUGAGCAGAACCACCAGCCCCUGCCUUGGUUCUCCAACCUAGGUUCCGGCAGAUUCUCCUGGAGGGCUGGCUAAGUCACAAGCUGCUGCCCGCCUCCCCAGAGUUGGUGACUCAGUGAGGGGAGCCUGAGAAGCUGCCAAUUCUGGUAAGUCCCCAAGUGCUGCUGGUCCCGGGAUCAGGCUGAGAAUCAUUUCAUGUAAAGUGUCUGGCCCCAGAGCACGGGCUCCGCAUCCCGUGAGCACGUUCCAACAAGGUGGAGGAGGUGAGAAACCAGCCUCCUGCGCUAGGACCAGGGCUAUGAUCUUGGUUCUCCCCGACUGGGGAAACUGAGGCCAAGAGAAGCCCUGGAUGUGGUGGAGCUGGGUCUUGAGCCCAGGUCUUCCAGCUCCAGGUUGAAGACGCUUCCCAACCUGGAGCAAGUUCACUUUCCUCAAAAUUCUCACAGUCAGUGAAAGACGCGGGGAGAUGCCCAGCCCCUCCCCAUCCUCAACAAGCCCCUGCUCAUCUGCAGCCCCCUCUGGGAUUGUGUCUAAGGCCUGCUCUGCCCUCCUCCCAUCUACCUCAGUGCUGGAUUCUGCUUCCUGCGACUUCCCUUCCCCCACCCUCUCUGAAGCAGGAUCCCCCUUGCCACCCUCUGCCCAGGGUGGGACCCAGGCCUUGGCCCCAAUGGGGGGAGGGUCAAGGGAGGGCAGCCUGAGCCACGUGGCAGAAGGCAUGGCCCUGAGGUCUCCAGGGAGGUCAUACAGAUGCGCACAGUGAACCUCAAGUGCAAAGCCAUUUGGGAUCAGUGCCUCAUUUGCUCCUGUGGCUUUUACAGAAAGUGGCUUUCCCAAGGGGCAGCCAGGCAGGUAGCCUGCAGAGUGAGGCCCUCCUCCUGGCCCCUCUUUCCCUCACCAGACACUGGCUGGGAGCUCAUCCAGGUCAGUGGCGCCCUGGGCUUUGGGAACCCCAUUUGUGACUGAAAUCCAGUCGGCUUCCAGUGAGGCUGGGAAGGCAUCUCGGACCCUCAGCAGUCAUCUGGGCUGUCCAAGGACCCACCCAGAAAACCACCUUGAACAGCCCAGGGAGGGGACAGCUCGGUCUUCAUCAGUGUCCAGGAGAAGCCUCGAAGUUAGAGAGCCUGGCCCCCUGGUUCCAGGAGACAAGAUGACCAGGACACUGCUGGCCAGCAGGGAUUCAGCCCAGCUGAUCCAGAGGUGUCCUUACCAAUAGGAGCAGCGCUCCACCUCUGGCCUCUCUGGAAUCAGGGUGUGGCCUACAGUGCGUCCUGCCGUCCCUGGGGCAUUCUGCGGCUUGGAAAAAACCCCAGCAGACAAUGGAGGAGUGUUCUCUCAAGCUCCGGGAAGCGCAGGUUGUGGGCACGGGGCGGAGGAGGUGCAGCGAACUCGGAGCCCCUCCGCCAGGGCGCAGCCAGCGGCAGCUGCUCUGCGGGCGCCCUCGGGGGAAACGGAAACGCUGCUGCCCGGGCUGGAGAGGUGGAGGGGGCUGGGAGGCCACAGGGAGCCUUCCGAGGUCCCCUAAGUUUCUCUUGGUUCUGGGUGGGAGACAGAUGCAGUGACGUUGUUGGAGAAGCAUUUGCAGAGCCUGCGGUGUGGGGGCUGGUUUUAAGCCACCAGCAUUUUAAAAAUGGGUUUGCAAAGGGCCUGACAACUUAACAAUUGUUCCCCGCGAGCCAGCACGCCCUGGCAGCCUGCGGGAACUGCAUGCACACAGGAGCACAAGGGUACAAAAGGUUAGAGGGAGAGAUACCUUUGUCACCGACACUUGAUGGCACUGACGAUGAUAUUGUGGGAACCAUACAGGCCUCUUGACUAGUGCACCAGAUUUCGAAUGUGGAGAACCUUAUUUUAUAUAAAUUCAUGUUCACAUGCAGUUUCCUUUUACGUGGGGACAACAGUGAGAUUGCACACAUCUGUGCACCCGCAUACAAUGUACAUAAAUCUUGAAGAACUCUUUUAAUAAGUAAAAAUAAAUAAAUAAUUCCAAGAGAUAAAGUAUUGUGUCAAUUUCAUGGACAGCAUUUUUAUUUCUUCGGGUGUAAAAAAUAGUAGUGUGUCUAUUCUCAAUGAUGCAG
This 4611-nucleotide long non-coding RNA is filed under the name Marmota monax (woodchuck). The record is from RNAcentral. Lineage: Eukaryota; Metazoa; Chordata; Mammalia; Rodentia; Sciuridae.